UCCAGACAGGCAAGGUAGAGAGUGAUAAUCUGUGAGGCCCAUGAAGCUGUGCUACCAAAAAUCUGCCUCACAGAAUCUUUUCCAGGCCUAAGGCUACAACGUACAUUCUUAAUGUCAGGGUCUGAGGCCCAGGAACGGCUGAAAUGUCCUUUGUGUCAGGGAGCGACGUGAUGGUAUGGAUACACCAGCUGAAGGCUAUCUUGGGAACCUCUGGCUCCAGUUCUGUGGUCCAAACAGCCAGGCACAUCAGCCGUCAGAAAGAAGCAGACACAAUAGGAAUUGUAAGCCCCCUAAACCAGAACACCCCAAGAAGAGGAGGAAGAGUCAGGGAGCAGAGCUUCCCCCACCUGAACAACAGAACGACGAAACACCAUGGAAAAUCGUGGCUGGUGAAAUAAUAUUGAUUUGUCAUAGGAACCUUGGCCAGGUAUCCCUCCAGAUACCAAACCGUUUCCAUAGCAAUCCAGCUGUUCUCAUCGUAACAAAGGAGAUACAUUGCAAGGACUUUCCAUUCUUUAGACACCUGAUUCUAUAUACAAUUAUCUGCCAAUGGGAGAUUUUUCAAGGGAAACAUAAAGAAAAGCUCUGUACAGAUUGCCGCAGAGAUGGGAACGGAGUCCUAAACUGUCAUAAGGCUUCUGAUCAAUGAGCCUAAACAGGGACUUUUCAUACAGACACUCCCACCCUCUAAGGAACAGCCUCUGAUUUUGUUCAGGGACCAAGAGGUUUUCUUUAUGAGACGAGGACCGCAGUUAUUAAAUGAUGGACAGUACUUCUGCCGACACCACCUCCUUCUCCCCAAUGCCCUGGAAGGAAUCUAACAUGAUUCAUGUUAGCAACCAGAUAAGAUAGAAAAAUCAACAGAUAAAAUAUUGAGAUUUAAUUGUAUCCAUUUUGUUUGUUUUUGACAGUUUUACUAUCCUUUCUUGACUUGGGCAUCUCCCUGAGUUCUGCUUUGGGAUGGUGAUUUAGAAACAAACAAAUCUAAUUAGGAGCAUAAGGAGAGCCUUGCUGGAUUAGACCCGAGCUCUAGAUUUUGUGGAGUUUCCAGCUGUGGCUACUCAGAAAGCCCUAAAGCUGUCUUAGUCACUUCAUCACUAUCUUCUCUUCCUUUACCCUCCCCAAGUCAGAGUUUGGAAUUGUUAUUUUUGAGACAAUUAUUACCCAAAUCCCCUAGUAGUGUGGUCAGUGACCAUGGAAAGAAAGAAAGAAAGAAAGAAAGUCACCCUUCCAAGCUCUAGGAAGCCCACUAACAUGAUAUGAAAGGAACUUUCCCUAAAUAUCUGGUUUCCAAAGGUAUGACAACUGUUGGAUGGAUGGAUGGAUGGAUGGAUGGAUGGAUGGAUGGAUGGAUGGAUGGAUGGAUGGAUGGAUGGAUAGAUAGAUAGAUAGAUAGAUAGAUAGAUAGAUAGAUAGAUAGAUAGAUAGAUAGAUAGAUAGAUAGAUAGAUAGAUAGAUAGAUAGAUAGAUAGAUAGAUAGAUAGAUAGAAAAACUCACAAAUAAGAACAAUAUUAAAAACAUAAGUAAACCAACAAAAUAAAAUUAUCCCUUUAAGAAAUCCCCUUGCUAAA
Molecule: long non-coding RNA, 1572 nt
Organism: Pogona vitticeps (central bearded dragon)
Lineage: Eukaryota; Metazoa; Chordata; Lepidosauria; Squamata; Agamidae
Source: Ensembl